This 193-nucleotide ribosomal RNA is filed under the name uncultured bacterium. RNAcentral's name for it is "partial 16S ribosomal RNA". It matches the Rfam family "Bacterial small subunit ribosomal RNA", at positions 336 to 526 of the family's 1533-position model. The record is from RNAcentral.
CUCCUACGGGAGGCAGCAGUAAGGAAUAUUGGUCAAUGGGCGAAAGCCUGAACCAGCCAUGCCGCGUGGAGGAUGAAGGUCCUCUGGAUUGUAAACUUCUUUUAUUUGGGAAGAAACCCACGAUUUCUAUUGUGGUUGACGGUACCAGAUGAAUAAGCACCGGCUAACUCCGUGCCAGCAGCCGCGGUAAUAC